Molecule: long non-coding RNA, 618 nt
Organism: Erpetoichthys calabaricus (reedfish)
Lineage: Eukaryota; Metazoa; Chordata; Cladistia; Polypteriformes; Polypteridae
Exons: 2
Source: RefSeq, a predicted model, not a curated record
UACAACAUGUUUCCUGGUCCCCCAAAAGAACUGUAACGCCACAAGUCAGACACCGGUACAAAUGUUGCACCCCGUCUCUCUCUCUCCUGCUCUCUCUCUCUCUCUCCAACAAGAAACUUCUCAUGUUGUGUACCAGCAAGCGACAACAGCCAAAAAGGGGGUGGACAUACACGCUGUGAUAUAUUUUAGCUUCUUAGUUGAUCAAGAAUAAUAAGAAAAGAAGGGGAAAAUGAGCGCUACUUUUCGAUAAGGAACUGAUCUCUUGGAAAGGGACACCUCUGCAAUCUGCCCCUCGGUUCGGAGGGACCCGGCUGCCGGGUUUCAGCAAGAAGGAACGGGAUAUUAUCAUUCUCGUACUUAUAGCAGCUCUGUCUGUACACCCACGUAAACCCCGGGAGAAUACGAAAUUCCACACAGAAGACGAUACAGCCUGAAAUCGACCCUGCGGGCUCAAGUGCUACGAGGCGACAACAAGUCCCACAAAGCCACCCUGCCGUUCGAUUUAUACAUUUUGAACUUGGUGUAUGUGCAUUUUAAUGCCUUUCUGUACACGAUUUUGAGCAUUUUUGCAAAGCUUUAGUUGUGUUGUCCAAUAAAUUGAAAACAGGUGUGAUCCUA